This 253-nucleotide ribosomal RNA is filed under the name uncultured bacterium. RNAcentral describes it as "partial 16S ribosomal RNA". It matches the Rfam family "Bacterial small subunit ribosomal RNA", at positions 524 to 776 of the family's 1533-position model. The record is from RNAcentral.
UACGUAGGGUGCGAGCGUUGUCCGGAAUUAUUGGGCGUAAAGGGCUCGUAGGCGGUUUGUCGCGUCGGGAGUGAAAACCAGGUGCUUAACACCUGGCUUGCUUUCGAUACGGGCAGAAUAGAGGUAUUCAGGGGAGAACGGAAUUCCUGGUGUAGCGGUGAAAUGCGCAGAUAUCAGGAGGAACACCGGUGGCGAAGGCGGUUCUCUGGGCAUUACCUGACGCUGAGGAGCGAAAGUGUGGGGAGCGAACAGG